CGAACGGGUGAGUAAUGCGUGACCAACCUGCCCCAUGCUCCAGAAUAGCUCUUGGAAACGGGUGGUAAUGCUGGAUGAUCCAACUUGACGCAUGUCUUGUUGGGAAAGUGUUUAGUGGCAUGGGAUGGGGUCGCGUCCUAUCAGCUUGUAGGCGGGGUAAUGGCCCACCUAGGCUUCGACGGGUAGCCGGCCUGAGAGGGCGGACGGCCACAUUGGGACUGAGAUACGGCCCAGACUCCUACGGGAGGCAGCAGUC
This 256-nucleotide ribosomal RNA is filed under the name uncultured Gardnerella sp. RNAcentral describes it as "partial 16S ribosomal RNA". It matches the Rfam family "Bacterial small subunit ribosomal RNA", at positions 99 to 355 of the family's 1533-position model. Lineage: Bacteria; Bacillati; Actinomycetota; Actinomycetes; Bifidobacteriales; Bifidobacteriaceae. The record is from RNAcentral.